Molecule: long non-coding RNA, 259 nt
Filed under: Citrus sinensis (sweet orange)
Lineage: Eukaryota; Viridiplantae; Streptophyta; Magnoliopsida; Sapindales; Rutaceae
Description: long non-coding RNA (CSIN_LNC002085)
Source: RNAcentral
AACUGGCUUUGGAUAGGUCUGGGUUUGUUUCCAUCCCUAUCCAAGAUAACAGACUCAAGUAUAUUGAACUACAAUAUUAUUAAAGUGCCAAAAACAUAUCAAUAUUAAUUAAAAACAUAUCAAUAUUAAUUAAAAACAGAACUUAAAAAUUGAAGAAUAACUUGAGAGACAGAACAAAGCUUAAAGAUUGAUGAGGGCAGAGAUCUUGAAUCAGUGAUGGACAGAGAGCUUCAAUUAGGCUUUUCAAGAAAGGGGAUGA